CUGUCCUGAAGAAAACUGCAAAGGAGGUGCUAUGCAGCCUUGAAGUUCUUUACAGUGAAGAUAUCAAAGUGCUCCAUUGGGACAUCAAACCCCAGAAUGUUCUGAUUGAUAUAACUGGUAAGGCGAGAUUAGCUGAUUUUGGUAUAAGCCGGAGGCUGAAUUUAGGACAAACAACUUUGCACACUAGUGCUGCUGGAACAAAGUGCUGGAAAGCCAGAGAGACCAUUGAAGAGGACGAUAACAGUGCAUACAAGAGGAGUUCUGACAUUCAGGUUGCAGGAAUGUUAGUGUAUUACAUCCUCUCUCGUGGACACCAUCCUUUUGGUAAAGGGGCUCGUUGUGAAAUUAACAUUCUUGAUGGGAAAUACUCACUGGAACAUCUGCAAGAUGAUGUGGCAAAGGACCUGGUGGAGUGGAUGAUCAAUGAAGAUGUAAAGGACAGACCUAAAGUAAAGGAGGCCCUCGCUCAUCCCUUCUUUUGGACAGAUGAAAAAUAAGAUUUGCCUGCUGAAAUUGUUGAACUUGCUUGGCCUACUGCGAUUCAUACAGCAUCUGUAUGAACACUACUCUGAUGAUGCAGAAAAAGUAAACCUGAUGACCAUAUUCCCUGACCUUUUUGGAAAUGCUUUCAAGUUUGCCAAAGUGAGAGGAUGGAACUCUACACCAAGUCUGAGAAAAUGGCUCAGAUCUGUACCGGUGAUAUGAUGACUGAACAACAUGAAUUAAAGGUUAAAUGAUGUGACCUCAUCAGUUUUUGGUUUUCACCAGCAUUAUGAUAUCAGCAUUAUAAAACAAUUAUUCAAAUCUGUAAUGAGAUAAAGUGAUUUGAAGUGGAAGUAAGCACUUUUAUGUAUUUUCAUCACUUCCCAAUACUUUUGUAUUUAAAAGUAAAGUGGAUUCUGGGGUUCUGGGCCAUCAGGUGAUCUGAAACACUUUAAGAGCUUCCAAUUCCACCAUCAGCAUCAUCAACUAAUCUUUUUAAAUAUGUAAAAAGAAAUAAUGUAAACAGAUUAAUUAAAGUGACAGAAGUAAUUUUAAGGGAAACUCCUUUCUUUCACUGUUGUUACUUGGGAAUGCACUAAUAGUAAAAUAUGACUGUUUGAGCGCUGUAACACACAGACCACUUCAGCUGUAAUUGUGAGGAGCACACAUGAUUAGGAUAUGAUGUUAUGAUAUGUGAUGCUAGGAUAGGAGUUUGCUCUGGGCCAGUACAGUUACAUGCCACUUAUCUUGUCACUCACGCUUGGUCACAAGAAAACACCACCACCACCACCAAUCGCUCCACUCAAACAGGAAAGGUAUAAAGCUAUGUUUCAGAUGUUAACGUCUAAGUAUAUUUGGAGACCCAUUUUAGUCCCUGCCCCCUCCCUCAUCGAACCAUGUCGAAAAACUUGGAAGUGCAUCCCCUCGUGGUGACAGCGUAGUAGUGUCGCUUCUCUUGCAGUGGAAAAUGCCACCAGAGCUGUUGCUAAAACGUGGAAGUGUGAAAAUGGUCUAUUUUAUCUAACAUUUAUCGAACAUUUCAUUGAUUUCUAUGGAGGCAAGUUAUAUCACGAUAAUUAUUGUUAUUGUUUUAUCGCCCAGCCCUAUUUAUCAGUUUAUGUUAUGUGGGAAUGUUGUUCUCAUGAACACAGUGCAACAUCAGUUAGCAUCUAAGAUUUUUAUCGAUGAACCCCACUCUUGGUACACACCUAAUUUUACCAAAUAAACUUUUUCUUUACUCAAGGCAAAUUAACUUUAAUUUGUCAGCUUUAUUUCUCUCUUACCUAUUGUCUAUUUUUUCUCUGAGGUCUUAUGUACCACAAAACAAUUAUUAUUCA
Molecule: long non-coding RNA, 1820 nt
Organism: Colossoma macropomum (tambaqui)
Lineage: Eukaryota; Metazoa; Chordata; Actinopteri; Characiformes; Serrasalmidae
Exons: 5
Source: RefSeq, a predicted model, not a curated record